Molecule: ribosomal RNA, 253 nt
Filed under: uncultured bacterium
Lineage: Bacteria
Description: partial 16S ribosomal RNA
Rfam family: Bacterial small subunit ribosomal RNA
Source: RNAcentral
UACAGAGGUCUCAAGCGUUGUUCGGAUUCAUUGGGCGUAAAGGGCUCGUAGGCGGCCUGUUAAGUCGAACGUGAAAUCCCCGGGCUCAACCCGGGAACUGCGUCCGAUACUGGCAGGCUUGAAUUCGGGAGAGGGAUGCGGAAUUCCAGGUGUAGCGGUGAAAUGCGUAGAUAUCUGGAGGAACACCGGUGGCGAAGGCGGCAUCCUGGACCGAGAUUGACGCUGAGGCGCGAAAGCCAGGGGAGCAAACGGG